CAGUCGCCGCGGGAAUACGAAGGGUGCAAGCGUUACUCGGAAUUACUGGGCGUAAAGCGUGCGUAGGUGGUGGUUUAAGUCCGUUGUGAAAGCCCUGGGCUCAACCUGGGAAUUGCAGUGGAUACUGGGUCACUAGAGUGUGGUAGAGGAUAGUGGAAUUUCCGGUGUAGCGGUGAAAUGCGUAGAGAUCUGGAGGAAUACCGAUGGCGAAGGCAGCCAUCUGGCCUAAUACUGACGCUGAGGUACGAAAGCAUGGGGAGCAAACAGGAUUAGAUACCCGUGUAGUCCUGUCUCUUAUACA
Molecule: ribosomal RNA, 301 nt
Filed under: uncultured bacterium
Lineage: Bacteria
Description: partial 16S ribosomal RNA
Rfam family: Bacterial small subunit ribosomal RNA
Source: RNAcentral